This 392-nucleotide ribosomal RNA is filed under the name Hemphillia glandulosa. RNAcentral's name for it is "partial large subunit ribosomal RNA". It matches the Rfam family "Bacterial large subunit ribosomal RNA", at positions 1844 to 2587 of the family's 2925-position model. Lineage: Eukaryota; Metazoa; Mollusca; Gastropoda; Stylommatophora; Arionidae. The record is from RNAcentral.
UAUCUAAGGUGUGCCCUGCCCGGUGAUUAUUUUUAACGGCCGCAGUACUCUGACUGUGCUAAGGUAGCAUAAUAAUUUGUCUUUUAAUUAAAGACUGGAAUGAAUGGGUGAUUAAUUGAAGUCUAUCUUAAAUAUGGUAGUUUGAAGUUACUAAAAAGGUGAAAAUUCCUUUUUAUAAAUAUAAGACGAGAAGACCCUUAGAGUUUAUAAUUAAUUUUGUUGGGGCGACAGGAAAGCAGAAAACCUUUCUACAUUAUAGCUUAUAUAUCAUAAUAAAGUAAUAAAUAAACUACCUAAGGGAUAACAGCAUAAUUUUAAAAAAGAUUAUGACCUCGAUGUUGGAUUAAGGACUUAUAUAGCUAACAGCUUAAUAAGAUUGUUCUGUUCGAACA